This 253-nucleotide ribosomal RNA is filed under the name uncultured bacterium. RNAcentral describes it as "partial 16S ribosomal RNA". It matches the Rfam family "Bacterial small subunit ribosomal RNA", at positions 524 to 776 of the family's 1533-position model. The record is from RNAcentral.
UACAGAGGGUGCAAGCGUUAAUCGGAAUUACUGGGCGUAAAGAGCAUGUAGGCGGAUGCUUAAGUCAAAUGUGAAAGCCUCGGGCUCAACCUGAGAACUGCAUUUGAUACUGGGUGUCUAGAGUGUAGUAGAGGAAAGUGGAAUUUCCGGUGUAGCGGUGGAAUGCGUAGAUAUCGGAAGGAAUAUCAGUGGCGAAAGCGACUUUCUGGACUAAUACUGACGCUGAGAUGCGAAAGCGUGGGGAGCAAACAGG